AGAUACUCUGUAAUCAGAUGAAGACUUAACUUUAUUGCUACUCCCCUGCAGAAUGAUCUGCCUGAUGAUAAGGACAACAAGCAACCCGAUCAGAAAGCCCUCAUAACUGCAGUUUUUUAUACUUGAAAGGAAUAUUCAAACAUUACUGAACUUGAGUGAGAUGCAGAACAUUAUAUGUGCUGACAAGAGGGUGUAGAAAAGCUGUGCCCAAGGGCUUUGUUCACUCUCUACGCCAGGACCAUGCAGUGUGCCACUGAGAGCUUGAUCUGGCUUCUCUCCUCCUGGGGUU
This is a long non-coding RNA of Chiroxiphia lanceolata (lance-tailed manakin), 289 nucleotides long. RefSeq lists it as uncharacterized. NCBI's taxonomy places the organism in Eukaryota, Metazoa, Chordata, Aves, Passeriformes, Pipridae. The record is from RefSeq and is a predicted model, not a curated record. The transcript is spliced from 3 exons.